RNAcentral lists this ribosomal RNA (105 nucleotides) under Clostridioides difficile. RNAcentral describes it as "partial 23S ribosomal RNA". It matches the Rfam family "Bacterial large subunit ribosomal RNA", at positions 1 to 104 of the family's 2925-position model. The record is from RNAcentral. Lineage: Bacteria; Bacillati; Bacillota; Clostridia; Peptostreptococcales; Peptostreptococcaceae.
UGGUACAGUUAUUAAGGGGGCCGGGCGGAGGCCUUGGCACUAGGAGCCGAUGAAGGACGUGAUAAGCUGCGAUAAGCUUCGGGGAGUUGCACGUAAACUUUGAUC